This 303-nucleotide ribosomal RNA is filed under the name Triticum aestivum (bread wheat). RNAcentral's name for it is "partial small subunit ribosomal RNA". Lineage: Eukaryota; Viridiplantae; Streptophyta; Magnoliopsida; Poales; Poaceae. The record is from RNAcentral.
AUGCUCAGACCAGACAUCUGCUCAAAGGCAGUUAAGAGGAAUUUUAAAUUUGUAGCACUGUCGUCAUCAUCUUGUAAUAAGAAGAUAGUGUCAUCAGGAGACUCUGUAUCCCUCUUAUACAUUGAUCUAGGCCUAGGAUGUGGGAGGCAGAGAAGAUGGACGGAAAUGGCGGAGACGAGGAUGACAUGCAUGCGUCCUGUACGGUGUGUCGUGUUGGUGUGUGUUAGAAAGGAGAGAGGAAUUUGGUGGAAUAGUUCGUUGUAUUGCUUGAGCCUCGUGGGCAUAUAUAUAAGAGUACAAUGA